CAUUUCAUCACACAAAAUAGAAAGAAACCGACGGAUAGUAGCAUGAAAAUCCAAAAAUCAACACCGGAUUUUGAUCAACGAAAUGAAAUCGAGGGAGAAAAUUAGAUAUACCAGAUGGGACACGUGAGCUCCAACUCCAUCUUCUGCAGAUUAAGUACCAAAGGGUUUAGCAAUCUCCUGAAACCCUCUAGAUUCGCCAUACUCUCUCUCG
This 211-nucleotide long non-coding RNA is filed under the name Phoenix dactylifera (date palm). RNAcentral's name for it is "long non-coding RNA (PDAC_LNC016366)". Lineage: Eukaryota; Viridiplantae; Streptophyta; Magnoliopsida; Arecales; Arecaceae. The record is from RNAcentral.